GAUGAAGAACUCAGCGAAAUGCGAUAAGUAAUGUGAAUUGCAGAAUUCAGUGAAUCAUCGAAUCUUUGAACGCACAUUGCGCCCGCCAGUAUUCUGGCGGGCAUGCCUGUUCGAGCGUCAUUUCAACCAUCAAGCCCCCCGGCUUGUGUUGGGGACCUGCGGCUGCCGCAGGCCCUGAAAAGCAGUGGCGGGCUCGCUGUCACACCGAGCGUAGUAGAUCUCAUCUCGCUCAGGGCGUGCUGCGGGUUCCGGCCGUUAAACCACCUUCAUAACCCAAGGUUGACCUCGGAUCAGGUAGGAAGACCCGCUGAACUUAAGCAUAUCAAUAAGCGGAGGA
This 337-nucleotide unclassified non-coding RNA is filed under the name soil metagenome. Its description in RNAcentral is "partial contains 5.8S ribosomal RNA, internal transcribed spacer 2, and large subunit ribosomal RNA". The stretch from base 1 to 120 matches the Rfam family "5.8S ribosomal RNA", at positions 35 to 154 of the family's 154-position model. The record is from RNAcentral.